AUUCUUUUAGUAUAAAAGUAUAAAUGACUUCCAAUCAUUAGGCCUUAAUUUAAUUUAAGAAAGAAUA
This 67-nucleotide transfer RNA is filed under the name Anolis carolinensis (green anole). RNAcentral's name for it is "tRNA (ENSACAG00000028233.1)". It matches the Rfam family "tRNA". From Rfam's summary of the family: Transfer RNA (tRNA) molecules are approximately 80 nucleotides in length. Lineage: Eukaryota; Metazoa; Chordata; Lepidosauria; Squamata; Anolidae. The record is from RNAcentral.